RNAcentral lists this ribosomal RNA (170 nucleotides) under Chloroflexota bacterium. RNAcentral's name for it is "Chloroflexi bacterium partial 23S ribosomal RNA". It matches the Rfam family "Bacterial large subunit ribosomal RNA", at positions 2756 to 2925 of the family's 2925-position model. The record is from RNAcentral. Lineage: Bacteria; Bacillati; Chloroflexota.
CGUUCCGGAUAACCGCUGAAAGCAUCUAAGUGGGAAGCCGACCUCGAGAUGAGCUCACCCACUGGGCAACCAGGUAAGGCCGCACGUAGACCACGUGUUUGAUAGACGGCAGGUGGAAGGGUCGCAAGAUCUGGAGCUAAGCCGCACUAACGGCCGAGGGCUUGACCUAA